UAAUCGGAAUUACUGGGCGUAAAGCGUGCGCAGACGGUUGCGUAAGUCAGAUGUGAAAGCCCCGGGCUCAACCUGGGAAUUGCAUUUGAGACUGCGUAGCUAGGGUGCGGAAGAGGGAAGCGGAAUUUCCGGUGUAGCGGUGAAAUGCGUAGAUAUCGGAAGGAACACCAGUGGCGAAAGCGGCUUCCUGGUCCAGCACCGACGUUCAGGCACGAAAGCGUGGGGAGCAAACAGG
This 235-nucleotide ribosomal RNA is filed under the name uncultured bacterium. RNAcentral's name for it is "partial 16S ribosomal RNA". It matches the Rfam family "Bacterial small subunit ribosomal RNA", at positions 542 to 776 of the family's 1533-position model. The record is from RNAcentral.